UCGCUCUUGGCUUGAAUACAUCUACCAAAACCCAAGUUACACCUAGAGAGAAGAAUAAGCCACCCAAACCUGAAUCUCCCACUGCUCAAACUCCAGAAGAAGAGAAGUUGUUGCAGGAUUUAACUAUGAAAGUAGGAAUCCAGGGGAUUAGCCGAAGUCUGGAUUUUGACUGUGAGAGGAGAAGAUUGAGAAAGCAUGAUUGCCUAAGCAAGAGUACCGGCCACUCUCCUCCAAGAGUAAGCAAGGAAAAGGGGUUGACAAAAAG
Molecule: long non-coding RNA, 265 nt
Filed under: Gossypium raimondii (Peruvian cotton)
Lineage: Eukaryota; Viridiplantae; Streptophyta; Magnoliopsida; Malvales; Malvaceae
Description: long non-coding RNA (GRAI_LNC000765)
Source: RNAcentral